GCUCCUUUUGAGGAGAGGAGGUGUGAUACAGGUCCCACAGCCGUGCGGAAAAUGAGACUCUGUUAUGCUUGCAAGACAGGUCUUAAUUACAAAGUGAAAAUUGUUAUUUCAUAUUAAAGUGGUGGGAGAAGAUAUAUGAAAGCCGAGGAAAUAUUCAGUAACUGCUGAAAAGGACACACAACACCCAGACACAAGGAGAUGUCUCAUUAAUUACUUGCUUUAGUCCCCUUUGGGCUCAGAACACAUCAGCAAUAGAAUUACUUUUGUUAUCAUCUGUGGGUUCUGUUUUGACUAAGCUUUGUGUUUUCUAUUUAUACAUUAAUGGUUUUUGACAUGUUUCCUUUUGGUGUGGGAAUUAAUUACCUACAAUUUAUCUAGAGACUGUACUUAAUCCACAUGUCAAUCAUUCACGUUUUGUGGUGUUUCACAGACAGCAGAAAUAAGGACUACUGAGAAUGGAGCAAUCCUGCCAGCCUAUGUGGAGUCAUUCAGGGCUGCAGCUGUUAGUUACCAGCCCAAGUAGGUUUGAAGAAAUGGCCAUUAAUAGGAUUGCCCACAGAUUGCAGAGGGACAGACUUUGUGUUCAGCCUUGUGUGGCAGAUCAGCACUGCGCUAACUUCUUAGCUGGAAAAGCACUCUGCAAAUAUCCACUGCCUGAAGGAUGCAGAUGGGACAGCAAGGAUGCCAAGCCCCUGAGACAACUUAAUCCAAUCCAAUACAGGCACUACACACCAAAUUCCUACUUGAUAUAUUACACUGGCACAAAGAAAAUCCCUGACUGUGAGAAAGAGCAAGGGCUGAGGAAUAAUACAGAUGUCAUUUCUGGCAUGAAGAAACAUUUUUUAAACUUUUAGAACUGAUUGGAUUUUCACUGCUAACAUUUCUGCCAGACUUCCUUUCAACAAAGUAUCAAGACUAGGAUGGAGUAUUUCAUAGAAUACUUGCAGAGGAGACAGAAUGGUUGGAUCUGCCUUCACUUUGCUCUUAAAUUAAGAUUAAAGGGGGGAAAGGGAAGGCAUAAGAGCCAUUUCAGUGAUUAGAUUCACCCAUGGAAUAGCUCAACAUGACAUUAAUUCGUAGACAGAUGAUUAGGUGGUUUGCAGUCCUGUGCUGAAGGACGUGGCUGUGGUCAGGAUGUGGUCCAAGUUUGGGGGAUGGUUUGGGAGACAGGGUGAUUCUAUAGAGUAGCAGCAAGGAUUUUUUUCAUAAACUUCAAAAGAAGCCUGGAAGUCAGACUGCAGGUAGCAUUUGUUCCCUGGAGUCUUCUGGUUAGGCUGUUUAUUAUGAAGAGCUCCUUAGUCAAAAAGAGACAAGGGUAUUGGUCUUGCAGGUCAACAGCAAUUUGCAGAAUAUAUAAAUUGUUAAAAAUGAAAGGUGCAGACAUAAAACUGAGUGCUCUUAAUAACAAAAGGAUUGAAGUACUGGAAUGCGGGCUCCAUUUUACCUCUGCUAUGCUUUUCUCUCUCUACUUUGAUCUUUCCAACUAUUUUUUUAAUGCAAAUAUCUACACUAUUAAGGGCCAUCCACACAAAAUGCAGUCACUGGUUCUUGAAGAUUUUUCUAUGAAGGUUUUUCACAAAUAGACCAGAAAUGUGAUAUCUGAUGUUUUGUGAACUAACACAUUAUAUUUUUGGUUCCUAUGAUUCAUCAAACUAGUUUGAGUGAAUGGACAUUUUUACCCUGUAAUUUAAACUGAAGGAUAUUGAAAGGCAGCUGAAAUUUUCCUCAGCUAAUAAGAAGUCUCUUUUCUGUGAACAUUGGAAGAAACCUGCUCAAAAAUGCAAACUGUGAUGACGGUUUUUCUAUAGAGCAAGUGCAGACGCAUUAAAUGUAUUUUUUUUUCCUUUCAAACUCCUUAUGCUUUUAAAUGAAUUCAAAGAUUUUUUUUCAAACUUGCAAGACUGUGUGGGUUUAAAAGCAACCAAGACACAUAGCCCAGUCCUAACUGAGACCUUUGUUAGGGCAGAAUCUAGUAAAGUGAGCUAACAAUUUGCAAUACAUUGGCUGUCACUUCAAAUGUCAGUGAUAAUUUGCAAAACACUCAGAGCAAUAAUAGAAAAAGGCAUAAAACGUCAAAUUUGUAGCAUAGCUGACAACAAAAAGAAUAUUCACUGUGAAUUACAGUCUUCCUGACUUGCUAAAGCUCUUACUGAUUUUGCUUUAAUAAAGGAUAUUCUCCUCUCAAGGGAUUUAAAUACAGUAGAUUAUCUAACAUGCUUAACUGAUGCUUGAAGUUCCCUAUCUGAAAGCUUAUCCUUGAUGACUGGGAAAUCUGUGAUCUCUUGCAAACGUGUUUGGGAGUGUGACUGGUCAGUUUGGUGGAUCUGUUAUCUGGAUAGGUACAGAUUUGGUCAAGGACCCCCAACAUUCCCUUGUAUUGAAAAGCUAGUGGCUAUUCCUUUUUUGUGGGUGUCUUUUUUUGGAAAAGGCAUUAGCUCCUGCUGUUUUGCAGCUCCUAGAGAAGAUGAAAAUGUUCAGAAUGGAAAACAUCCACAAAAAAAAACUCAGAAAUGUAUAUAUUGAUCGAAAGUCAUACAUAUGCUUAAUGGAAAUGAAAGCUUCAGAGUACAAAAAUAACAACUCUGCUUUCCAAAAACCUGUGCCAGUUGCUAAAAAUUUUUAAAUGAACCAUUACACCUUGAGAUACAUUGGAUGUGCACAGGCUGGAUUGCAGUCCUGGGUCAUUAGGAGUUCAAAUAGCCUGGCUCACAGCAGGACCUGGGAAAGCCAGACCAUUUUAUCUAAUCCUUAUUGAAAGGGUAAGAGGGAAAACAGGGAGCUAAACUACAUGACAGACGGGAUCUAUAAAAUGAAGUGUUAGGCAAAAGGAUUAAGAGGAAGCACUAGAAAACUGUGCAUGGAAUACAAUGCAAGUUGGAUGCAGAGAGAAUACCAAAAAGUCAAUCUGAGAGCUACAAUAAAGGUGGAUAAGAAAUCUCUAGUAACAUGGUACAUGGUGUAUAUUAACUACCCUAGAAUUUAUCAAGCCUCUUUGACCUCUUGCAUCUCCCAGGCAAGGCCCCACAUUGUCUUGACUAGAACCCAAGUUUUCUCAAUUUGACAUCCCAGAUAUUUGCAGACUUGCUAUAGUAAAAAAGCAAGUUACUGCUGUGCAAUCCCUGAGGUUUCACCUCCUCUGUGACUUCUUUAACACCUUGGACCCCACAACCUGUUAGAAAAGGGUCUCUGCUUCAGAGCAACCAAAUCUAGGCUGAGUCCCAGAGCCUUGGGAGAACCUCUGCAAAAACCCCCAUUGCUCUGUCACAACAGGGCAGUGUCUUUGCCCCCAGCAAAUAGGGGCAGCUCAAUAGGCCACCAUCACAAUGAAUUUUUAGUAUACACUUGAGCUGAACCCCAUUUAACAAAAGUAGGGCUACCAUCAUCUUUCUGUCCAUGUCCGUGGCUCUGCUUUUCUUUGCACUGCCUCUAGGGCUUGUAUGACUCUGUGCAGAGCUAAUCCAGCUCAUUAACCCCAAAUAAAACUAUUGACUUUCCUAGCAAAUGAAUGCAUUGCUGAAGGGACAACCCCCCUCCCAACAGCUCAAAUGGAUGCAGGACCUUCCUUUUCAACAGCAAGGAGAACAGAUCACCUCAAGCUGAGGUGAUUUAUCCAUAGGGAACUCUUCCCAUGGGCUAAUUUACACCUGUACUUUGCCUACUGCACAAAAUGGAGUCCUUAUUACAAAAUUACCUUCUCAGUUUUGUACAGACACAUUCCACAGCUUCUUCAUUAAGAAAUCUGGUCUCAGAACAUGCAUAAAAGAUCUCAUUUUUAUGGUAAAUAUUUCUACCCUGUACUUCUGAAAAGAAAGAAAAAAUAUAAUGUAUUAAUAUUACAUGAGGAAGAUGAAUUAUCUUUCUAUCCAUUGACACCUCUGUAGGAUGAGAAUGGCACUGCUGUUUUUCAAUCAGCAGUCUCUAUGGCACCUGGGUAUCCAAAGAUCCUUAAAGAGUAGGAGACUUCCAGCCUUCUUAUGUUAAUUUUUAACAGCUCUCUUUACAGCUAAUAUUCAAAGAAUGAAAGGAAAGCUCAUGUUCUUCCAAGAAUCAAUCAGAAUGACCAAAGUAAUAACAGACCCGGCAUCCUUGGUAAUCCUAGACAAAACAAUCAUGUUAUGUAAAUUAAAGCAGUCAUGCAUGUGUGAUUCAAUCAAUAAAGAGUUAAAGCAAGUCCACAUGGCCUUAUGGAAACAAGACUUGACAAGCAGGCCUGACUUCAGUUUUUGAUGCGAUUACAGGUUUGUUUGAUCAAGGUAACCACAUGGAUGUGAUAGACUUGGACCUUCCUAAUGAAUCUGAUUUAGUACUGCUUGACAUUUUGAUUAAAACAUUAGCAUUAUAUAGCCUUAAUAAAAGACAUUAAAUAGAUUAAGAUCUGGCUAAUUGAUAGAGUUCAGCAAGCUGUUCUAACCAGAUAUUCAGCACCGACUGGGGAUAUUUUUAGUGGAGCUCUGCAGGCAGGAACACUAUGCUUGCUGCCUGCCAUUCGAUGUUCUGGAAUUACACAGAAACAUGGGCAACACUGGCAAAUAUCCCACAGUGUAAUGAGGAAUAGGUAUCUGUGCAAAGUCUCAGUUUUGCCUGCAUUGGCAUAGAUGUGUUUCUGGUAUUUGAUUACAUCUUUUUCCUUCAUUUCCCUAGAGGCACAGAAGUUCUUUGUCAGUGUGUAGUUGCAAGGCUGUGGUCUAGACUGCUGUGGUGGGCAUACAGUGAUUUCUCUCAAGAGUCAUUGCUUUUAACUGCUAACACAUGGAUUAUCAAAGGGGCUCACAUGAAUCACUUAAAAAGUGUCAACUGUGAAACCAUCACUUACUGCACACUUCUGCAUGUAUUUUUUCUUAACUACCAAAAAUAUGACCUGAGAUUAAAAUAUGUUUGCAGCUUUGAAAAGUCAUGAAACUCUAGUCCACAG
This is a long non-coding RNA of Taeniopygia guttata (zebra finch), 4912 nucleotides long. The record is from Ensembl. NCBI's taxonomy places the organism in Eukaryota, Metazoa, Chordata, Aves, Passeriformes, Estrildidae.